This 258-nucleotide ribosomal RNA is filed under the name uncultured bacterium. Its description in RNAcentral is "partial 16S ribosomal RNA". It matches the Rfam family "Bacterial small subunit ribosomal RNA", at positions 524 to 781 of the family's 1533-position model. The record is from RNAcentral.
UACGGAGGGUGCAAGCGUUAAUCGGAAUUACUGGGCGUAAAGGGUGCGUAGGUGGUUAUGUAAGUUAUCUGUGAAAUCCCCGGGCUCAACCUGGGCAGGUCAGAUAAUACUGUAUAACUCGAGUAUGGGAGAGGGUAGUGGAAUUUCCGGUGUAGCGGUGAAAUGCGUAGAGAUCGGAAGGAACACCAGUGGCGAAGGCGACCACCUGGACUGAUACUGACACUGAGGUGCGAAAGCGUGGGGAGCAAACAGGAUUAG